UGCAAGUCGAACGUUCUUUUGUUUUUCGGAACAAGAGGGAGUGGCGGACGGGUGAGUAACACAUGGGUGACCUGGCCUGAAGUGAGGGAUACCGGCGAGAAAUCGCCGACAAGCCCGCAUGGGUUCACUGCGGUGGAGCGCAGGGAGCAAAGUUUUUCGCAAGGGAGACGCUUUGGGAUGGGCCUGUGGCCGAUUAGCUAGUUGGUGGGGUAAGAGCCUACCAAGGCGACGAUCGGUAGCUGGUCUGAGAGGACGAACAGCCACACUGGGAUUGAGAACGGCCCAGACUCCUACGGGGGGCAGCAGUGAGGAAUUUUCCGCAAUGGACGCAAGUCUGACGGAGCAACGCCGCGUGCAGGAGGACGCUUUUCGGAGUGUAAACUGCUUUUCUCUGGGACGAGAGUGGACGGUACCAGAGGAAGAAGCCCCGGCUAACUACGUGCCAGCAGCCGCGGUAAUACGUAGGGGGCGAGCGUUGUCCGGAGUUACUGGGCGUAAAGGGCAUGCAGGCGGUCGGACGCGUUUUGUGUGACAGCGGGUGGCUCAACUACCCGAGCAUACGAAAGACGGUUGGACUUGAGGGCUCGAGAGGGACACGGAAUUCCGGGUGGAGUGGUGAAAUGCGUAGAGAUCCGGAGGAACACCGAAGGCGAAGGCAGUGUCCUGGCGAGUGACUGACGCUGAGGUGCGAAAGCCAGGGGAGCGAACGGGAUUAGAUACCCCGGUAGUCCUGGCCGUAAACGAUGACCACCAGGUGUGGGAGGUAUCGACCCCUUCUGUGCCAAAGGAAACCCAUUAAGUGGUCCGCCUGGGAGUACGGUCGCAAGAUUA
This 831-nucleotide ribosomal RNA is filed under the name uncultured bacterium. RNAcentral describes it as "bacterial SSU rRNA". It matches the Rfam family "Bacterial small subunit ribosomal RNA", at positions 56 to 896 of the family's 1533-position model. The record is from RNAcentral.